This 225-nucleotide ribosomal RNA is filed under the name uncultured bacterium. RNAcentral describes it as "partial 16S ribosomal RNA". It matches the Rfam family "Bacterial small subunit ribosomal RNA", at positions 109 to 334 of the family's 1533-position model. The record is from RNAcentral.
CGUAACACGUGAGCAACCUUCCGAGAUAUGGGGGAUAGCCGGCCUAACGGCCGAGUAAUACCGCAUACGCUCUCGAUGAGGCAUUUCAUUGAGAGGAAACCUCCGGGGUAUUUCGAGGGGCUCGCGGCCUAUCAGCUAGUUGGCGAGGUAACGGCUCACCAAGGCAACGACGGGUAGCUGGUCUGAGAGGAUGGCCAGCCACAUUGGGACUGAGAAACGGCCCAG